GACGAACGCUGGCGGCGUGCUUAACACAUGCAAGUCGAACGGAAAGGCCCUGCUUUUGUGGGGUGCUCGAGUGGCGAACGGGUGAGUAACACGUGAGUAACCUGCCCUUGACUUUGGGAUAACUUCAGGAAACUGGGGCUAAUACCGGAUAGGAGCUCCUGCUGCAUGGUGGGGGUUGGAAAGUUUCGGCGGUUGGGGAUGGACUCGCGGCUUAUCAGCUUGUUGGUGGGGUAGUGGCUUACCAAGGCUUUGACGGGUAGCCGGCCUGAGAGGGUGACCGGCCACAUUGGGACUGGGGUACGGGCCAGACUCCUACGGGAGGCAGCAGUGGGGGAUAUUGCACAAUGGGCGGAAGCCUGAUGCAGCAACGCCGCGUGCGGGAUGACGGCCGUCGGGUUGUAAACCGCUUUCGCCUGUGACGAAGCGUGAGUGACGGUAAUGGGUAAAGAAGCACCGGCUAACUACGUG
RNAcentral lists this ribosomal RNA (468 nucleotides) under uncultured bacterium. RNAcentral describes it as "partial 16S ribosomal RNA". It matches the Rfam family "Bacterial small subunit ribosomal RNA", at positions 28 to 507 of the family's 1533-position model. The record is from RNAcentral.